RNAcentral lists this long non-coding RNA (8538 nucleotides) under Homo sapiens (human). RNAcentral describes it as "HSALNT0272127". The record is from RNAcentral. Lineage: Eukaryota; Metazoa; Chordata; Mammalia; Primates; Hominidae.
ACAGGCUUGAAAUCCUGGGCUCAGGUGAUCCUCCCAAGUAGCCUACUCUAUAGGCUCACACCACCAUGCCCAGCUAACUUUAUUUAUUUAUUUAUUUAUUUAUUUUAGCAACAGGGUCUCAAUUUGUUGCCCAAGCUCAUCUUGAACUCCUGGCUUGCCUCCCUUAAGUGCUGGGAUUACAGGUGUGGGCCACUGUGCCCAGUGAUUUUUGUAGAAAGAAAUGUGGAGGUUGGUGAAUGUUAGCGUUGGUUCAAUUAUUUCAUGGUGUCAGCCCAUGUGUCUUUGAGAUUAUUCGGGAUUCUACAGUUCCAGGCCUCACAUUCAGAACACCCAGAAGAAGGAAGGGGAGGCACCAGCUACCAGAAACCCUUGAUCAUAAUUUUGCUGACCACUCAUUGACCACAAUUGUGUCACAUGGCCACCCCUAGCUGCAAAGAAGAAUGGGGAGGAACUGGACACAAUUAUGGAGGCUGAGAAGUCCCAUGAUCUGCUGUGUGCAAGCUGGAGACCCAGGAAAGCUGGUGGUGUCAUUCAGUCUUGGUCUGAAGAUCUGAGAGCCAGGGAAGCUGACGGUGUUACUCUCAAUCUGAGGUCAAAGGCCUGAGAACCAGCGGUCUCAGUAAUGUCCACAGAAACCCAACUGUCGCAGAAACCUGAGUGGUAAAGUGUCAGCAGCAGGAGUUCUGAAUAACAUUUCAGGGGCAGAAAAACCGCACUGGCCUUUCCUUCAAUGGUGAGCAGACUCUAGCCCGUCUUCUGCGGAGCGAUUUAUCCCGACAGAGCCCAACUCCGACCCACAACCACAGUCCUGGAUCUUCAGCUCACUCAUCUGUCUCUGUCCAAGUGCUGCUUCCCAGUCUACACAGACCCUAAUUUGGGUUUUGAGCAUCACUAUGCCUUUUUAUAUCUUCAUUUUAUAUUUUCACCACCACUGCUGUAUGUUUAGAAAAGAAGAAAUGUCCCAAAGAGGCUGGGCUCGGUAGCUCACGCCUGUAAUCGCAGCACUUUGGGAUGCCGAAGCAGGGGGAUCGCUUGAGGUCAGGAGUUCGAGACCAGCCUGGCCAACAUGGCAAAACCCCGUCCCUACUAAAAAUGCCAAAAUUAGCUGGACGUGGUGGCGGGGGCCUGUAAUGCCAGCUACUCGGGAGGCUGAGGCAGGAGAAUUGCUUGAACCCGGGAGGCAGAGGUUGCAGUAGGCAGAGAUUCCACCAUUGUAUUCCAGCCUGGGCGACAGAGCAGGACUCUGUCCAAAAAAAAAAAAAGAAAAGAAAAAAAGUUCCACACAAUGGAGUUAGCAUCCACUUGAAUAAGAUUCUGUAUUAAUUCAGGAUCAAAAGAUUUGAGAGGAAAAAAAGGUUUUUGUUUGUUUGUUUUUUUGAGACGAAGUCUCACUUGGUCACCCAGGCUGGAGUGCAGAGGUGUGAUCUCAGCUCACUGCAACCUCUGCCUCCUGGGUUCAAGCGAUUCUCAUGCCUCAGCCUCCUGAAUAGCUGGGACUACAGGCACGUGCCACCACGCCGGGCUAAUUUUGUACUUUUAGUAGAGAUGGGGUUUCGCCAUGUUGGCCAGGCUGGUCUCGAACUCUUGAUCUCAGGUGAUCCACCUGCCUUGGCCUCCCAAAGUGCUGGGAUUACAGGCAUGAGCCACCGCGCCCGGCCAAAAAAAUGUAGUUUUAAUGGCUGCAAGUUUUUGAAACUGUUGUUAUAUGGAGAGCAUAGCAACUAUGUCCUCUGAUAAAUAAGUUUGUAACAGCCCUGUGUUCAAUGGCUAAUAGGUGGUAUUUUUAAAAGACUUGUAGCUCGUGAAACAUUGUAAGUGCCUUGUGAUUUGUGUUUGUGUGAAAACUGGAGCUUACUCCAAAUUUAUGUUGAAACUUAUUAUCUUUUCACUUUCUCAAGAAUGACAACUGGGAAAAGUUAAAAACUCAAAGGCCAAAUAUUAUGUCAAACCAGUAAUGGAGGUACAGAAAACAUCAGAAAAAUAGAAUAUCAGAAGUCAAAGAGGGAUUUAUCUUUCCUAGUUCUAUUCUCUACUGGAUGGAUAAUCUUAUUCCCUGGGGGUUGCUGGAAGAAGAGAGGUGAGUCUUACUUUUUUAUAGCAAGUUGUUAUGGGGGAAAAAAAUCUGUACCAAAGAAACCAACUUUUUUUCUGUAAUAAAAACGUAUUUUUGGGCUAGGCACGGUGGCUCACACCUGUAAUCCCAGAACUUUGGGAGGCCAAGGCAGGCGAAUCACUUGAGGUCAGGAGUUUGAGGCCAGCCUGGCCAACAUGGUGAAACUCCUGUCUCUACUAAAAAUAAAAAAAUUAGCCAAGUGUGGUGACGCACACCUGUAAUCCCAGCUACUCAGGAGGCUGAGGCAAGAAUCACUUGAACCCGGGAGGCAGAGGUUGCAGUGAGCCGAAAUCAUGCCAUUACACUCCAGCCUGGGCAAUAAGCAAAACCUCCAUCUCAAAAAAAUGUAUAAAACCAAAUUUUUGGUUUUAGCUUCAUUCUGUUUUUAAAUCUCUCUAGGUAUGAUGAUGUCCCUGGCAUUUUUCUUCCAAAAAAAACAUCCAAAGUGGAAGUUUUUUCUUAAAGAAUACAUUUCUUACGUUAAACUUAACGAAAUGUUAAAAUCUAAAUUUUAAGACAAUACAAUAAAAAUACCUUGGGCAUAAUGCAAAGACUUAUAUUUAAGGAAUUUCAGGCUAAAGUUCAUUAUAUUGAUUUCUAGUUUAUUAGCAUUAUCAACAAUAGUAAUGGUGUGUAAGUUUAGUCUAUCAGACAAGACACUAUUCAGAUAACAGGAGACCUGGAAUGGUGACUAAAAUAGGUAUUGGUCCCAAUUUGCAGAAAACCGCUCUCAUCUUAAACUCUCACUUUCCUGUCGUUCAGUUUAAGAGUUUGAUUUAUUUUGUAAACAAUAAGCUGUACAACUCUGUAUGUUGCCAAUUAGAAAUAACUUUGUUAUUUUUUUCAAAGGGGGUUUUCUGGGUAUGGUGUGCAUACACGUGAAUUUAAAUAUAGGGCCAGGCAUGGUGGCUCACGCCUGUAAUCUCAGCUCUCUAGGUGCCACUUUAAAUUUGAAGCUUAUUUUUAGAGCUCCUAAAAGGAUGCCUCGCUGAAGUUAUUAAAGGGCUCCUAACACUAACAAUUUGUUGACAUACUGUCUGUUUCUUCAUCUUCUGUCUAAAGAACGUUAAGUGCCUCUCCCCUGCUACCAAGUCAGAGAGCAUAUGAAUAAAAAUUAAUAAUCUGUAGGUGUUUUAGCAGGUUACAUCUGGGGGGUCUUGAGAAGUGAGACAGUGGAAGAGUUUAUUGUUCAUUGAGUCAAAAUGUCAUGGCUAGUAUCCACCAGCUAAAGCUAAGUUCCAUAAUACAGAACCACUUAUUUUAGGCAGGAAGAUAACAGCCCUGUCUUCAGAGAUCUAGUUUACAUUACAUGCAACUUGCUUUGAAACAUUUUCCUAUCCUCAUAUUUCUCAUAUUUUCUUAUUCUAAUAGCAUCCCUGUCCUAGUUUCUGGGUGUGUCACUGGUUUAAGAGCGUUAACAAUACAGAUCUCCAGGGAACAUCUUCACCUUACAGGUGGGGAAAUGCAGGACGAAAGAAAUUUGCAGGCCAGGUGCCGUGGCCCGUGCCCGUAAUCCUAGCACUUUGGGAGAUCAAGGCAGGUGGAUCACUUGAGCCCAGGAGUGGAGUUUAAGACCAGCCUGGCAAACAUGGUGAAACCCUGUCUCCACACAAAAAAUACAAAACUUAGCGGAGCGUGGUGGCACCCAACUAUAGUCCCCGCUACCCAGGAGUCUAAGGUGGGAGGAUCAUGUUAGCCCGGGAGGUUGAGUCUGCAGCAACCCAUGAUCAUGUCACUGCAUUUCAGCCUGGGGUGACAGAGUGAGACCCUGUCUCCAAAAAAAACUAAAAAGAAAACGAAGUUUGCAAAGUCUCCAAGUUUAAGCUAUGAGUGAGUGGCUCUGACAGGGUCCAAUCUAAAUCUACCUGGCUGCAAAGCCAGUGCUCUCUCCCAUACCACACACAUACUUCCUUCCCAAAGUAUUCCCACAUUUUGGUUUUCAGUAUGCUGAUGGAUUUCAGGCUUAUGGAUUUCACUGUUCCUUUUUAUGCCAAGCGAGCACCUCUAUAGCAUUUGUUGCACAAUUAGCAAUUCUAUAGCUAAAAACAGGGAUGUUAAGAAAUCUAUAAAGCUGUCCUGUGUGAAUGAGGCUUAGGAUGUUCAUUUACAGAGCUUUCUCUGUCAGUGUUUGGGUUGUGCAUACAUGUGUUUGUGAUUCUUAUUUUUUAUUUAUUUAUUUAUUUUUUUUUUUUUGAGACAGAGUCUUGCUCUGUCACCCAGCCUGGGAAGUGCUGCUAUCUUGGCUCACCGCAAACUCUGCCUCCUAAGUUCAAGCGAUUCCCCUGCCUCAGCCUCCUGAGUAGCUGGGAUUACAGGCGCCUGCCACCAUGCCCGGCUAACUUUUGUAUCUUUAGUAGAGACGGGGUUUCACCAUGUUAGCCAGACUGGUCUCAAACUCCUACUCAGGUGAUCCGCCCUCCUCGGCCUCCCAAAGUGAUGGGAUCACAGGCGUAAGCCACUGCGCCCGGCCACAGUCUAAUAGUUAUGAUGAUGAUGACCAUCACCAUGAUGUGCUGUUGUCAUCCAUCUUACAGAUGAGGAAACCAAGCCCUGGUCAGUUGGCUCCAAAUUCAAUAUGAGAAUGAGACAAGCUUUCUAUUUUGUUACACCACCCUUGUUAUUUGGGGUGUUCCUGUUCUAAAAGUCAAAAUUAGGUGACAUAGCAAUAUUAAUAUCCCAUCUUUUCUAAAGCAGACCUUAUGUGGGACAAGUACCUCUGAUCUUUCCUUCAAAAUUCCUUUUUCAAAAAAUAGCUCUUGCCAACCUAAGCAGUUUUUUUGCAAGUCUUGUUAACGCAGAACUUUCACUUUUUAAAAUCCUAUUUCUAGAAGCACCUUCUGCCUUUUCUCCAUGUCCUUGUUUUUGUAGCCCUUUUACACAUGAUCUUUCAAAAGCAAUAAACUUAUUUAUAUCCUGUCCCAUUUGGAAAUGGAUGGAAGGUGACUGCUUGAAGAUCUCAGACAAUUUCAUACUCAAAUUUCACACUUCAAAAGGAACCCAAAAUAUGCCUUUCCUGAGUCUUGGCCAUGUCGGAUCUGAGCCAUCUCUAAAAUAUGGGUCCUUAGUGUCAUUCUCAAAGCUUUUUUAAAAGCAGAUACUGCCAACUUGCUUAGUAAUGAAUUCACCCUCUCAAACCAGAUAUUUAAUAUUUUUUAAAAAACAUUGUUUUUGUAACAGCUAUGUAUUUAAAGAUUUGCAGAGAUAAUACAAACAGUUCAGAGACAUGUCUCACAGCCAGCUUCUUCAAUUAUUAACAUCUUCCAUUAGUAUGGUACAUUUGUCACAAUUAUUGAACCAGUAGUGACAAUGUUAUUAACUGAAGUCCAGCUUUGAUUUCGUUCAUUUUCUUUGGUUUAUUUUCAAUUUCAGUGAUUUCUGCUCUAAUUUUUAUUUUUUUCUCUGUUUGCAUCACUCUUAUUCUUUUCUAUAGUUUCCUUUCCUAUAGCUUAUUGAUUUUAGAUAUUUCUUUUCAUCUAAUAUAUAUAUUUAAUGCUAUAAAUUUCCUUCUAAGCACUGCUUUCACUGCAUCCCACAAAUUUUGAUAAGUUGUAUUUUUAAAAAUUUUUACUGUUUUAUUAUUUUUUUAAAGAGACAGGAGACUCACUAUGUUGCCCAGGCUACUCUCAAACUCCUGGCCUCAAGUGAUCCUCCCGCCUCAGCCUCCCAAAAUGUGAUAUAAAACCAUAUUGUUACAUUUCUUGUUUCAUUUCCUGUGAACUUGGAAACUUAAAACUCCUUGUCUCACUGUAAAACAGAUCAUGACGUUUUAUAGUUGAAAUAAUCAGUGCUGAUAAUGGGGUGUAAAAUUUGCAGAGGCACAGAAAAACUCAGUGAUUGCAAUAAAUAUUUUAAUGCAAUACUUUUAGUUCAUGUAAAACAUUUAUAAUGAAUAAAAUAAGAAUUUAAUAACAUCAGGACCAAUAUAUUAUCUAAAGAGCGGAAGUCCCUCCCACAUGGACCAAACAUGGAACCUACUCUUUUAUUGCUCAGCACAACUGAGACAGGUUGCAGCCUUUAGUAAGACUUAACUCAACGUUCAGGACUUAACUCGAAUGACAGAAAGUCAUUUCAAUGCAAUACACAGUUUUAUUUCAGCUGCCAAUGGAUACUGCAGCUUUCAGAGCUCUUCGUCCAGGAGCCAUCUUUACCGGAUGCCUUGGCCCAGUGUGCAUGAGGAUAGAAAGUAUGUAAUCCUCUACCCAGACAGAGUACCUUUGAGCUAGUCUCCUGACACUGGUAUCCCGUGCUACCAGCAAAGAUCUAUACAACAGAAACAGGUGCCAUACAGUUUCUCCUUGCCAAGCCAAUCUAAGGACUGAGUUGUCAGUCCUAAUUUCCUCAUUUAGAAUGCACCUCUUUCUGAAAUAACUGAUGAGAAUAUCCUUUUGCAUCAACAAAAACUUUGCCUAUAGGGCUUGGAAUUUGUCAUAGGGCAUCGGUAAGAAAUCACACCAGAAUACAUUAGUAUAAUAUCAGAACCUUUCUCCAAAUAUGUAUGAUUCUGUUUUAAUAGCUUCACAUGCAAGAGAUCAAAAUUAUAGUCCAGGCUCAAUUCUACUUUAUCACUUGAGUUCCCUCUUUGUGUGAGAUGAAGAUCUGCCCUCACGUAUUUUCUAUCAAUGGCUAAGUCUCAACCCUGCAUCACUCAUGAAUAAUUUCUUUAACAACAACAGAAGCAACAACAAGAACAAGACACACUCUCUCACACCCACACGCACACACCCCUACCUCCAUAAGAAAGAGUAGCAGAUCAUAGGCAUAGUGUAGCUUAAAUUUAAAAAGGGAAAUAAACUCUUUAUAAAAAUGCCACCCGGCCCCGCGCGAUGCUUACGCCUGUUAUCCCAGCACUUUGGGAGGCAGAGGCAGGCGGAUCACAAGGUCAGGAGACUGAGAUCAUCCUGGCCAACAUGGUGAAACCCCGUCUCUACUAAAAAUACAAAAAUUAGCUGGGCUUGGUGGUGCGUGCCUGUAAUCCCAGCUACUCGGGAGGCUGAGGCAGGAGAAUCGCCUGAACAAGGGAGUUGGAGGUUGCAGUGAGCCGAGAUUGCACCAGCUUGGCGACAGAGCAAGACUCCAUCUCAAAAAAAAAAAAAAAAAAAAAAAAAAAAAAAAGGGCUGCUCUACCUCCUCAACUCCUCUAUGUCACUCUUGCUCUCUCAUUCUCUCAUGAUGUCACAGAACAUUCUACCUCCUUAGAAAUUACUCUUUUGGUUAAACUAUCAGCUUAAUAUGGAUAUAAUCAAAUAAUCCCUUCUGGUGGUUUUCCCAGAAGCAAGGUCUCAGGAUAUAUUUAGGCCUCACCUCCUGCGAGGUUUCUACCAGCAUAUUUAAGGUUUUGAAAAUAUUAGAACCAAAUUUUACCUAGGGCGCCAUGUUACAAUUACCGUAAUGUAUUUCAGCACAUCCUCACCAGUUACUAAUGAAAAUUUCAAAAUUUCACUGGUCCUAAAAAAUAAGGAUAAAUAUAUGAGAUGCUUAAAAAGUUAAAUGUAUUUAAAGAAUACUCCUUUAUUCUUUGAUUACAUCACUAGUACAUCCUUUUUCUGUUAAUUUAUUAAAUUAUAAUGUCAUAGGUUUUGUUUUGUUGUUCGUUGCUUGUUUGGUUUUGAGAAAGGGUCUUGCUGUGUCACCCAGCCUGGAGUGCAGUGACCAUCAUGGCUCACUGCAGCCUCUACCUCCUGGGCUCAAAUGGUCCUCCCACCUCAGCCUCCUGAAUGGCUGGGACUACAAGGCAUACAUGACCAUGCCUGGGUAAUUUUUAAAUUUUUUGUAGAGAUGGGGUGUCUCACUGUGUUGCCCAGGCUGGUCUUGAACUCCUAAUCUCAAGCAGUUUUCCUGCCUUAGCCUUCCACAGUGUCGGGAUUACAGGCAUGAGCCACUGCACCCAGCCAUGUUUUUUAAUUCUGAUUUUACAAAAUACAAAUUUUGAAAGCAUGUGUCAUCCACCUCAGGUUGUUGGCUUGUGGGUUUGUUGUUGUAGCUUACUAUGGGCUGAAUUAUGUUCCCCCUGUCCCCAAGCCCCUGAUUCAUAUAUUGAGGUCCAAACCCCAGAAACUUAGAAUGUGACUGUAUUUGAAGAUAGAGUCUUUAAAAAGGUAAAUUAAUUAAAAUGAGGUUAUUAGGGUGGGCCUAAUAACCCACCUUUUGACUGGUAUCCUUAAUAACGGGAGGAACUUCCGAUACAGACAAGCAACAGAAGGAAGAUGACAUGGCCAAGUGUGGCGGCUCAUGCAUAUAACCCCAGCACUUUGGGAGGCCGAGGCAGGCGGAUCACCUAAGUUCAGGAGUUCGAGACAAGCCUGGCCAACAUGGUGAAACCCCAUCUCUACCAAAACAUACAAAAAUUAGCCAGGCGUGGUGGUAUGUGCCUGUAAUCACAGCUACUCAGGAGCUGAGGUGGGAGAAUCGCUUGAACCUAGGAGGCA